UACGUAGGGGGCAAGCGUUAUCCGGAUUUACUGGGUGUAAAGGGGGCGCAGACGGCGAUGCAAGCCAGGGGUGAAAGCCCGGGGCCCAACCCCGGGACUGCCCUUGGAACUGUGCGGCUAGAGUGCGGGAGGGGCAGGCGGAAUUCCUGGUGUAGCGGUGAAAUGCGUAGAUAUCAGGAGGAACACCGGCGGCGAAGGCGGCCUGCUGGACCACGACUGACGUUGAGGCUCGAAAGCGUGGGGAGCGAACAGG
RNAcentral lists this ribosomal RNA (253 nucleotides) under uncultured bacterium. Its description in RNAcentral is "partial 16S ribosomal RNA". It matches the Rfam family "Bacterial small subunit ribosomal RNA", at positions 524 to 776 of the family's 1533-position model. The record is from RNAcentral.